Molecule: ribosomal RNA, 1422 nt
Filed under: Dechloromonas sp.
Lineage: Bacteria; Pseudomonadati; Pseudomonadota; Betaproteobacteria; Rhodocyclales; Azonexaceae
Description: bacterial SSU rRNA
Rfam family: Bacterial small subunit ribosomal RNA
Source: RNAcentral
UCAUGGCUCAGAUUGAACGCUGGCGGCAUGCCUUACACAUGCAAGUCGAACGGCAGCACGGACUUCGGUCUGGUGGCGAGUGGCGAACGGGUGAGUAAUGUAUCGGAACGUACCUUUCAGUGGGGGAUAACGUAGCGAAAGUUACGCUAAUACCGCAUAUUCUGUGAGCAGGAAAGCAGGGGAUCGCAAGACCUUGCGCUGAUUGAGCGGCCGAUAUCAGAUUAGCUAGUUGGUGAGGUAAAGGCUCACCAAGGCGACGAUCUGUAGCGGGUCUGAGAGGAUGAUCCGCCACACUGGAACUGAGACACGGUCCAGACUCCUACGGGAGGCAGCAGUGGGGAAUUUUGGACAAUGGGGGCAACCCUGAUCCAGCCAUGCCGCGUGAGUGAAGAAGGCCUUCGGGUUGUAAAGCUCUUUCGGCCGGGAAGAAAUCGCAUAGGUUAAUACCCUGUGUGGAUGACGGUACCGGAAUAAGAAGCACCGGCUAACUACGUGCCAGCAGCCGCGGUAAUACGUAGGGUGCGAGCGUUAAUCGGAAUUACUGGGCGUAAAGCGUGCGCAGGCGGUUUCGUAAGACAGAGGUGAAAUCCCCGGGCUCAACCUGGGAACUGCCUUUGUGACUGCGAAGCUAGAGUACGGCAGAGGGGGGUGGAAUUCCACGUGUAGCAGUGAAAUGCGUAGAGAUGUGGAGGAACACCAAUGGCGAAGGCAGCCCCCUGGGUCGAUACUGACGCUCAUGCACGAAAGCGUGGGUAGCAAACAGGAUUAGAUACCCUGGUAGUCCACGCCCUAAACGAUGUCAACUAGGUGUUGGGUGGGUAAAACCAUUUAGUACCGGAGCUAACGCGUGAAGUUGACCGCCUGGGGAGUACGGCCGCAAGGUUAAAACUCAAAGGAAUUGACGGGGACCCGCACAAGCGGUGGAUGAUGUGGAUUAAUUCGAUGCAACGCGAAAAACCUUACCUACCCUUGACAUGUCCAGAAGCCCGAAGAGAUUUGGGUGUGCCCGAAAGGGAGCUGGAACACAGGUGCUGCAUGGCUGUCGUCAGCUCGUGUCGUGAGAUGUUGGGUUAAGUCCCGCAACGAGCGCAACCCUUGUCGUUAAUUGCCAUCAUUUAGUUGGGCACUUUAACGAGACUGCCGGUGACAAACCGGAGGAAGGUGGGGAUGACGUCAAGUCCUCAUGGCCCUUAUGGGUAGGGCUUCACACGUCAUACAAUGGUCGGUACAGAGGGUUGCCAAGCCGCGAGGUGGAGCCAAUCCCAGAAAGCCGAUCGUAGUCCGGAUCGUAGGCUGCAACUCGCCUGCGUGAAGUCGGAAUCGCUAGUAAUCGCGGAUCAGCAUGUCGCGGUGAAUACGUUCCCGGGUCUUGUACACACCGCCCGUCACACCAUGGGAGCGGGUUCCGCCAGAAGUAGGUAG